This 432-nucleotide ribosomal RNA is filed under the name uncultured bacterium. RNAcentral's name for it is "bacterial SSU rRNA". It matches the Rfam family "Bacterial small subunit ribosomal RNA", at positions 28 to 455 of the family's 1533-position model. The record is from RNAcentral.
GACGAACGCUGGCGGCGCGCCUAACACAUGCAAGUCGAACGAGCGAGAGGAGGUUUACUUUCUCAGGCGAGUGGCGAACGGGUGAGUAACGCGUGAGGAACCUGCCUCAAAGAGGGGGACAACAGUUGGAAACGACUGCUAAUACCGCAUAAGCCCACGACCCGGCAUCGGGUAGAGGGAAAAGGAGCAAUCCGCUUUGAGAUGGCCUCGCGUCCGAUUAGCUAGUUGGUGAGGUAAUGGCCCACCAAGGCGACGAUCGGUAGCCGGACUGAGAGGUUGAACGGCCACAUUGGGACUGAGACACGGCCCAGACUCCUACGGGAGGCAGCAGUGGGGAAUAUUGCACAAUGGGGGAAACCCUGAUGCAGCGACGCCGCGUGGAGGAAGAAGGUCUUCGGAUUGUAAACUCCUGUUGUUGAGGAAGAUAAUGAC